UUUUACAACGUGUCACUCUUCUAUCUUCCCUCUUCAUGGUUCACUUCUCUCUUCACAAUUCAAAUUCUCUUUCUCUCUUCUGUCUCCUAAAACCCUAAAUUUCUGUACAAACCCUGCCGCCACUUUCAUCCACCAUUCUACCUAAAGUGUCAUUCCCUAUCACCGCACCGCUCUCGCAAAAUUCUCAGCUGCGAUUCUCACGCUAUCACCGCACUGCACUUGCAAAAUCCGUUGUUAUAAGGAUCAAUGAGGAAACAAAGAUUUGAUUUUUUCAGCAAACUAUCUUUUGCUCAAGGUUAUGUGGAUUUCAUUUUUGAACUAUCAUCGUUUCACUCUCUCUGAAUACGUAGUUCCAAGGAAAAACAAAGGGAAAGCUGGGAGGCUACCUCUCAGGCACUUAAAGUGAAGCUCCAAAUAGCUGAGAGCAAUUGUAUUUCAUGUGUUGUAAAUCAUUCAUUAUGUCGUAGUUUGGAUCUGGAUAAUCGUAAUUGCGUUUCAACCUACUGCUGUUUUUAUGUGUUAAGCAUAAAUGCUUCGCGGUCUUCAAGUAUUCUGUAUUUAAUAAUCUACUUUUCACUAUAUUUAUUGGCUUUUUCUUUGUUGAUUUGCUUCCAUGAUCUCUAUAUAAAAUAGAGGCUUCACUUGGAUGAAGAUCGUAUGGUUAAUUGAGUUAAUUUUCAAUUCCGCAACGACAACCAAAACCGUAACUGUAAGCUAUUUCUGCUCAUUUAUUCAGCCCUCUUUUUUAAUUUUGUUUUUGAUACAGGUACUUUGUAUGCUUACGGGGAUUUCUGCCAGAGAUCAAAUAGAGCAUCUUACUGCUCAAGCAUGGCUUUCAGAUGAUAAAUAAUUAGAACAAAAGGUUGGUAAAUAGUUCCUAUGCUAUCACUUUACUCAUUGUUUGCGUACAUCUCAGUAAUCGCGCUUGCCUUUUGUAUCCCUCCGACAAUACUUGUAAGUUCAUUUGCUACAACAACUAUUGUUUUUCUGUUAGUCUGUGAUUGAUUUUGUUACGGGUGCAUCUGAUUUGAGUGACCCCAACUCAUGGAAUUUGGAUUUAGAAAUGCUAUAGUCAAAGUAGGAUUGAUCAAGUUUUUGUCUGAUCUUUUAUGGAUUGGAAUGUUUUACCAUCUUUAUAAUCAGGUAUGCUUCUGUUUUAGUUAAGAGAUUAUUUCAAUUGUGCAUGUUGUGAAAUUUUCACUUUUUCUUUUGAUGUUGUUAUAAUUGCAGCUUGCUACUAAUACCUUGGAAAUGUGUUGACCAUGUCUCUUUACUACUAGAUGCAAUGAUCUUACAACUCCAUUUCAGAAAGCUGCUACAGCCCCUGCAUCUCAAUGGAAGCUUUUUCUUUCAUCAGCAAUAUUGGAUCAAGCUACAUUGGCAUAAAGUGCCUUUGAUGUAUCGACCGGGUCAAACUCCUGCUAGAAUGGCCAUGAUGCCGAUGCUUCUGGAUGAUGGACUCAUUGGAUGUCUUGUAAGUAGAACUGUAAAUGGCUGCCUGUGUAAGAAGAAGAGCCUUUAAUCGAGAAUUGUAUCAGGGUUUAGGAAUAUAGAAGAAUUAUAUCAGUAACUAUGAUGACAUUGCUAAUUAUGAUUAAAGAAUUGUAUGAAAAAAUAGUAGGCAGAAAUAUGAGCACAACUUUUCUGUCUGCUAGAGCUGCCUUUAGGAACCUUUAGGUUGGCACAAAUAUGUUAAACUUCAAUGCGUUGACCAUCAACUUCUCCUGGAAUUUUUUUAAUAGAUGAGGCAAGCUUGGUUAAA
Molecule: long non-coding RNA, 1762 nt
Organism: Vicia villosa (hairy vetch)
Lineage: Eukaryota; Viridiplantae; Streptophyta; Magnoliopsida; Fabales; Fabaceae
Exons: 4
Source: RefSeq, a predicted model, not a curated record